CAGCAGCCACGGUAAUACCGAGGGUGCGAGCGUUAAUCGGAUUUACUGGGCGUAAAGCGUGCGUAGGCGGCUUUUUAAGUCGGAUGUGAAAUCCCUGAGCUUAACUUAGGAAUUGCAUUCGAUACUGGGAAGCUAGAGUAUGGGAGAGGAUGGUAGAAUUCCAGGUGUAGCGGUGAAAUGCGUAGAGAUCUGGAGGAAUACCGAUGGCGAAGGCAGCCAUCUGGCCUAAUACUGACGCUGAGGUACGAAAGCAUGGGGAGCAAACAGGAUUAGAUACCCCUGUAGUCCCUGUCUCUUAUAC
This 301-nucleotide ribosomal RNA is filed under the name uncultured bacterium. RNAcentral's name for it is "partial 16S ribosomal RNA". It matches the Rfam family "Bacterial small subunit ribosomal RNA", at positions 509 to 807 of the family's 1533-position model. The record is from RNAcentral.